This is a long non-coding RNA of Octopus sinensis (East Asian common octopus), 268 nucleotides long. RefSeq lists it as uncharacterized. The transcript is spliced from 3 exons. NCBI's taxonomy places the organism in Eukaryota, Metazoa, Mollusca, Cephalopoda, Octopoda, Octopodidae. The record is from RefSeq and is a predicted model, not a curated record.
GUGGUCCUAUGUUGGUGUGGUCUCAUGCUUGUCUCAAAGCUUAAGCCAUGCAAGUGUAAGUUCAUGCCGUAAACGAAUGGUGAAACCGCGAAUGACUCAGGAACCGGACCUAAUCCUCGGGACCGUAUUCUUCCACCGUGAGGAGAGUGGAUAACAGUGGCAAUUCUAGAGCUAAUACAUGCAACCGAAGCCGCGAUCGCAGGUCACACCCAGGCGUCGGGCUCGAAAACGGCGUUCGGCAGCCGGCUUCGCGGCAUCGCCGCCGUUC